This 479-nucleotide ribosomal RNA is filed under the name uncultured archaeon. RNAcentral's name for it is "bacterial SSU rRNA". It matches the Rfam family "Archaeal small subunit ribosomal RNA", at positions 380 to 859 of the family's 1478-position model. The record is from RNAcentral.
ACCGAGUGCCAGCAUCAUAUGCUGGCUGUCCAGGUGUGUAAAAUACACCUGUUAGCAAGGGCCGGGCAAGACCGGUGCCAGCCGCCGCGGUAACACCGGCGGCCCGAGUGGUGAUCGUGAUUAUUGGGUCUAAAGGGUCCGUAGCCGGUUUGGUCAGUCCUCCGGGAAAUCUGACGGCUUAACCGUUAGGCUUUCGGGGGAUACUGCCAGGCUUGGAACCGGGAGAGGUAAGAGGUACUACAGGGGUAGGAGUGAAAUCUUGUAAUCCCUGUGGGACCACCUGUGGCGAAGGCGUCUUACCAGAACGGGUUCGACGGUGAGGGACGAAAGCUGGGGGCACGAACCGGAUUAGAUACCCGGGUAGUCCCAGCCGUAAACGAUGCUCGCUAGGUGUCAGGCAUGGCGCGACCGUGUCUGGUGCCGCAGGGAAGCCGUGAAGCGAGCCACCUGGGAAGUACGGCCGCAAGGCUGAAACUUAA